AAAUAAAAAAUGUAGAGGGGAAACUAACAGCGAAGACCGCACCUCACCUUAAAGGAAGAACAAGGAAACUUACAACGAAGGAGGAGGAGGAGAACCAAACUGAUGGCAGCUGAUCUGGAACAUUGAAACCCAGAGAACGCGAGGGACAGAGGUUCAAUGGUCGUUGCGUGGCUCAAGAAGGGAAACAAAGAACAAAGAAAAAAAAAAUCAAUUUCAGGCUAAAGAUCACACAGAAAACCAACAGCAAAGUCUGCAGCUCACCGGAAAGGAAGAAAAGGAAGAAAAAGAAAACUCACAAUGGAGGAAGAGGAACAAAACCAAACGUCUGGACCACUGCGUGGUGAGGAUGAGAACGCGAGGGACCGAGGCUCGAUGUCUCAAUAGGUUAAUGUACCAGGGCUUUAAACAUCCGGAUAAGCAAGAGAGCAACAUUG
Molecule: long non-coding RNA, 434 nt
Filed under: Coffea arabica (coffee)
Lineage: Eukaryota; Viridiplantae; Streptophyta; Magnoliopsida; Gentianales; Rubiaceae
Description: long non-coding RNA (CARA_LNC005642)
Source: RNAcentral